This 158-nucleotide unclassified non-coding RNA is filed under the name Drechmeria balanoides. RNAcentral describes it as "partial internal transcribed spacer 2". The record is from RNAcentral. Lineage: Eukaryota; Fungi; Ascomycota; Sordariomycetes; Hypocreales; Ophiocordycipitaceae.
CAACCCUCGAGGCCCCCCCGGGGGCCCGGCGUUGGGGACCGGCCCUGGCCGCCCCCGAAAUGCAGUGGCGACCUCGCCGCAGCCUCCCCUGCGUAGUAGCACACACCUCGCACCGGAGCGCGGAGACGGUCACGCCGUAAAACGCACCAGCUUUCAAG